GAAGGUUGCCAGCCAUAUACGAGUGGCUAUGGUGCACAGAUGGAUCUGUUGACUGAUUGUCGCAGAGUGCGAGACAUGAUUUUGCCCUUUCCAAACACAGUUGGGUAAUCAGAAUCCAAUCCAUGGCUGUUGAUGAUAAGAAGGAGAGUCUAUUUCCUGUAAGUGCUAACACAACAUCUGUUGAUCGUUACUCUACUGGCUGUUGUUUUCUGCACUGUAGAAUUUAGGUCCAUUUUCUCCUUACGAAUUUGGGACUGUACAGAUUUCCUAAUGUCUGUUGCUACAGAUCGGCUGUUGAACCUAAUUAUUCCUUCCAUCGCUACCAGCAGUUGUUUUCUGCCUUGAAAAUUUGGUUACCAACUUGGGACUGACCUAGUAAUUUCGAGUUCAUUCAUCAUUGCCUAAUGUCUGUUGCAAUGUGGAAUUUUGUUUACAAAUCCAGUCCAGGACUGUAGUUACUAGUUUGGAGUUCAUAUAGUGGCUGUUGCUACGGAUCGGUUGUUGAUGCGCCUUCAACGGCUUCUUCGUGUUAAAGCAGAUCGCUUGUUAACGACAGUAGGCUAUGAUUACGAACGAACAUGCUCCUUCAUCAUUCAAUAUUCUCUGUAUGUCAGUCUGUAUAAUUGACCCUCUAUGGCGAAUUGUGCACCUUUCAGCUCCUCAAUUGAUCAGAUUUCUUCAUGAAGAAGACGAAGAGUAUGCUAGUUUAGAUGCUUAUUGGCUCAAGUCUUUACCUCACGAGCUUCAAACUCUUUUGAUCAGUUUAUAUGACAGUAGAAAUUGGAGCAUUUUAGAUAGACAUAUGUGGGAUCAAGUGAAUAAAGAUGAACAAGUGAAAGAUAAAGUUAAACACAAAUUAGCUGCUUACUUUCCGGUUCUCAUUGAUGAAGCUCCAAGAAUCAAUGACGUUUUAGAAGAACUAAAGAUGGUGAUUGACGUAAUGCUAAUACUUUGUUGCGAGUUUAUGGAUUCGACCUAGGAAAUUUUCGUGUUUGAUGAUGUAUCAAGAAGAUUACUCAAGUGUGGAUUUACACAAAGGCAGCUUGAGCUACUCUCGUUGGCAGGAAGAUUACCAAUGAAACAGAAUGUUGAUGAGAAAGAAACCGUCGUUGGCUUUGAAGAGGACACGGUAAAGCUACUUGAGCGGCUAACCGGAUUCUGGAGGUCAUCCCGAUUGUAGGAAUGGCAGGGCUUGGUAAAACCACAUUGGCUAAAAGAUUAUACUGGGAUCCGUAUGUAGUAUAUUUUUUCGAUAUACGUGCAUGGUCCUAUGUUUCUCAAGAAUAUGUGAAAAGGGAUCUUUUACUAGGUAUUUUGAGCUCUGUAGUCGAGUUUACAAACAGAAUAUAUAGCAUGAGGCGAUGAGCAGUUAGGGGAACAAAUAUACAGAGGAUUAAAGGGUCGAAAAUAUCUGGUGGUCUUGGACGAUAUAGAGCGUGGAAGGAGUUGAAAAUUUAUUUUCCAGACGAUAGAAAUGGAAGUAGGAUAGUGCUAGCUAACCUCACGUAACAUAGACUGCGCUUACGGACCGCACGUGAAAGCUGGCGUCUGUUACAAACAAUGGUUUUCGAAAAUGGAAAAUGUCCUUGGAGAUUAUAUGACGUUGGAAAGAAGAUAUCUGCAAAGUGUUAUGGUUUGCCUCUUGCAAUCUCUAUAACUGCCUGCCGGACUUUUAAGAAGUAGGUGGACGAGAGCAUAUUGGAAAGAAGUUGCUGAAAGUUUAAGUAAUUACAUUGUGAGAGACCCUAAUCAAUACAUGGAUACUCUAGCUUUAAGUUACAAUCACAUUUAAGGCCAUGCUUUCUUUAUCUAGGAGUAUUUCCUGGAGAUUGUGAUAUUCCAGUGCACAAACUGAUCCGGUUAUGGGUUGCUCAGGGCUUCAUAGAUCAAAGCGCGAGUAAAAGUUUGGAAGAUUACUUGAUGGAUUUACUUGGGAGAAGUCUGGUUAUGGUUUCCAAAAAAGGCGAUGAUGGACAGAUUAAAGCGUGUCAUGUUCAUGAUCUGUUGCGCAGUUUGUGCAUGUGGAAAGCAAAGGAAGAGGCGUUUUCUCCUAUAGAAUACAGGUACGGGCGUGUCUCUUCAGCAAUUUCUCCUGUUCCAGCUGCAGAAACUGAGAAUAAUAUGCCACCCAGCAUGUCUUCAGAGCAUUCUACUCAACAUGUUAACUUUGUUUGUUCUAUGCUGUCCCAUAGAAUUGGGUGAAUGUUUUCAAAUGGGUUUGCCUGUUGAACCUGACACUUACAAAUUUCUUAGAUAUCGAAUGCAUCUUUAUAUCCUUAUUUCCUACGGAAAUAUUAAAUCUCGUCAACUUGAGAUAUCUAGCGAUUAAAUCUGAAGACGGGAAUCCAAUAUCCAACCUCAUACACCUGCAAAUCUUGAUCAUAUCAUCAACCAACCAAUAAUAUUGUUCUACCUACAACUACAUGGGAUAUCAAAUGUCUAAGGCAUCUUUAUAUUGAUUAAAUCAGGAAAAAUUCUUAUUGAAGACUUCUCUUCUGAAUUCAUAGGAAUAUUAGAGAAUUUGCAGACUAUUUCUGGUGUUUGCCCUUCUCCUUCUUGUUUAACCCGAACUCCCAAUCUUAGGAGGCUCGGUUUUAGUGGACCAUUAGUGUCUACUUCAGGGGUAUUGGAGUUUCCAAAUAUACGCUCAUUGAAUUGCCUUCAAACGUUGAAGUUAUCAAAUACCAUGAAAUAUCAUGCACCAGUGGCCCCCUUAUGUUUCCUGAAAGGCUUACAAGACUAACCUUAUCAGAGAGAGACUUAUCUGGGGUGGAACGAGAGAGAUUCAAACAUUCGGGUUGCUACCGAACCUUGAAGUUUUGAAACUGAAUGUUAAUGGUGAAAGAUGGGAAGCAAGCGAUAUUGGGUUUGGAAACCUUAAGUUGUUGAAAUUACAAGAUUUGGAUGUUGUGAAAUGAGUAGGCAAUUUCCAAGGCUUCAACGGUUGUUGUUGUAUGCUUCAAGAGAUUCCAGCUGGUAUUGGUGAAAUCUUGACGCUAGAAUUGAUUGAGGUAAGUUGGUGUAGCGAAUUGACCGCUCGAUCUGCAACAAUGAUUCAGAAGGAACAAGAGAGAAAUGGAAAUGAUUUUCUUAAAGUUUUUACUUCUGUGCAUAGAGAGAGGAAAAGACCAAGUUAUGAUUGAUUAUCAAUUGGCUACUUGGCUGACCGUUUUUGGUGGCAAGUUUCCAAGCUGAUGGAACCGAGACUUAUCUCUAUCCUGUGGGAAUCAUGUAAGUGAUAUUUUCACAUACAAGGAAGGGGUCGUUUGAUACUCACUGAAAGAAUAGUAAUGGUUCAAAGGAAUUAGAGUUAUUUGUAUUGUGUUUGGUUUGUAAAGUUGUAAACGAUAUUGGAAUGUAAAGAAGUUAUAGGAAGGAUCGUUGAAUCGGAAUUUAUUCCAUUCCAAUUCCUUCCAUUUUGAAAUCAAAUACAAUUUUGGAUACAAUUAGUUCCAAUCUCUGGAUUCUGUUAACCAAACCGGGCAUAAGUUUUUAAGUUAUACUUUUUUUUAAUCUAUAUUGCUAUUUUGCAAACUGAUAUGUUCCAUUUUUCUUUCCUUUUUGGCAUUUGAAGUAGAUCGACUGAUUUUGUUUCUCAGAGCGAGGAUGUUCGAAACAGGGGUUGACGGAUUCUGUGCUGAUUGUUGAAGGUGCGGUUUGGGAUGACCCAAGGGGGCACUUAGCCGCCUGAAUGCACUAGUAACAAAGUCGAGACUUGGCAGUUGGCUUCAUGCUAUUAUUCUACUUGGCAUGAUCCUUCAACCAAUGUGUUGUACAUAAGUGUUAUGCACAGGUUCAACAUAAUAUAUAGGGUGUAUCAACUCUUAUAUUUACUUUUUUUUUGUGUUAUAACUUUUCCUUAUAUCAAAGGCUAAAUUAUUUAUAAA
This is a long non-coding RNA of Helianthus annuus (common sunflower), 3887 nucleotides long. RefSeq lists it as uncharacterized. The record is from RefSeq and is a predicted model, not a curated record. The transcript is spliced from 3 exons. Lineage: Eukaryota; Viridiplantae; Streptophyta; Magnoliopsida; Asterales; Asteraceae.